UGGCAAGCCAGAUGUGUAAGCCCGGGUCUCAACCCCGGUACUGCAUUUGGAACUGUCAGGCUAGAGUGUCGGAGAGGUAAGCGGAAUUCCUAGUGUAGCGGUGAAAUGCGUAGAUAUUAGGGGGAACACCAGUGGCGAAGGCGGCUUACUGGACGAUGACUGACGUUGAGGCGCGAAAGCGUGGGGAGCAAACA
This 194-nucleotide ribosomal RNA is filed under the name uncultured bacterium. Its description in RNAcentral is "partial 16S ribosomal RNA". It matches the Rfam family "Bacterial small subunit ribosomal RNA", at positions 581 to 774 of the family's 1533-position model. The record is from RNAcentral.